GAUGAACGCUGGCGGCGUGCCUAAUACAUGCAAGUCGAGCGAAGCGGGGACGGGUGAGUAACACGUGGAUAACCUCCUAUAAGACUGGGAUAACUUCGGGAAACCGGAGCUAAACCGGAACCUUAUAGAUGGAUCUGCGCUGCAUUAGCUAGUUGGUAAGGUAACGGCUGACCAAGGCAACGAUGCCUAGCCGACCUGAGAGGCUGAUCGGCCACACUGUAACUGAGACACGGGCCAGACUCCUACGUGAGGCAGCCGUAGGGAAUCUUCCGCAAUGGGCGAAAGCCUGACGGAGCAACGCCGCGUGAGUGAUGAAGGUCGUCGGAUCGUAAAACUCUGUUAUUCGGGAAGCGUUACCUAAUCAGAAAGCCACGGCUAACUACGUGCCAGCCGCCGCGGUAAUUC
Molecule: ribosomal RNA, 405 nt
Filed under: uncultured bacterium
Lineage: Bacteria
Description: partial 16S ribosomal RNA
Rfam family: Bacterial small subunit ribosomal RNA
Source: RNAcentral